GACGAACGCUGGCGGCGUGCUUAACACAUGCAAGUCGAACGGAAAGGCCUCUUUCGGGGGGUACUCGAGUGGCGAACGGGUGAGUAACACGUGAGUAACCUGCCCUUGACUUUGGGAUAACUUCCGGAAACUGGGGCUAAUACCGGAUAGGCGCUCCUGCUGCAUGGUGGGGGUUGGAAAGUUUCGGCGGUUGGGGAUGGACUCGCGGCUUAUCAGCUUGUUGGUGGGGUAGUGGCUUACCAAGGCUUUGACGGGUAGCCGGCCUGAGAGGGUGACCGGCCACAUUGGGACUGAGAUACGGCCCAGACUCCUACGGGAGGCAGCAGUGGGGAAUAUUGCACAAUGGGUGGAAGCCUGAUGCAGCAACGCCGUGUGCGGGAUGACGGCCUUCGGGUUGUAAACCGCUUUCGCUCAUGACGAAGCUUUGUGUGACGGUAGUGGGUAAAGAAGCACCGGCUAACUACGUG
Molecule: ribosomal RNA, 467 nt
Filed under: uncultured bacterium
Lineage: Bacteria
Description: partial 16S ribosomal RNA
Rfam family: Bacterial small subunit ribosomal RNA
Source: RNAcentral